RNAcentral lists this ribosomal RNA (466 nucleotides) under Vreelandella stevensii. Its description in RNAcentral is "partial 16S ribosomal RNA". It matches the Rfam family "Bacterial small subunit ribosomal RNA", at positions 338 to 795 of the family's 1533-position model. The record is from RNAcentral. Lineage: Bacteria; Pseudomonadati; Pseudomonadota; Gammaproteobacteria; Oceanospirillales; Halomonadaceae.
CCUACGGGAGGCUGCAGUGGGGAAUAUUGGACAAUGGGCGAAAGCCUGAUCCAGCCAUGCCGCGUGUGUGAAGAAGGCCUUCGGGUUGUAAAGCACUUUCAGUGGGGAAGAAAGCCUUGGGGCUAAUACCCUCGAGGAAGGACAUCACCCACAGAAGAAGCACCGGCUAACUCCGUGCCAGCAGCCGCGGUAAUACGGAGGGGUGCGAGCGUUAAUCGGAAUUACUGGGCGUAAAGCGCGCGUAGGCGGUCUGAUAAGCCGGUUGUGAAAGCCCCGGGCUCAACCUGGGAACGGCAUCCGGAACUGUCAGGCUAGAGUGCAGGAGAGGAAGGUAGAAUUCCCGGUGUAGCGGUGAAAUGCGUAGAGAUCGGGAGGAAUACCAGUGGCGAAGGCGGCCUUCUGGACUGACACUGACGCUGAGGUGCGAAAGCGUGGGUAGCAAACAGGAUUAGAUACCCGAGUAGUC